This 933-nucleotide long non-coding RNA is filed under the name Cavia porcellus (domestic guinea pig). Its description in RNAcentral is "lncRNA (ENSCPOG00000036533.1)". The record is from RNAcentral. Lineage: Eukaryota; Metazoa; Chordata; Mammalia; Rodentia; Caviidae.
GACGGGUGAUGGACGAGCUAUGAAAAUGGCUUGCAGACAACUCCCGAGAUCCGGCCAGGGUGGGACUCAGGCAGCUUAUUCACCCGCCCUCUUGGUCCCAUUCCUCCAAUCCCUGCCUGAAAGGACAAAAGGAGCGACUUGGUCCCGUGGCUUCAGUCACUAGGCUCACUGCUGCCUGACCGCCUUUCUCCACCAGCAGCCAGCGAUGCCCGAUGCCCCUCUGUCUCAAGGCCAUCUAAGCAAGUCCAGAUGGCAGAAACUGAAUCUCCAGGAAAGUGGGAGUAAGCAGCUGUGUCCUGGUCGAGAUCACAGAUCCAACAAUGUUUCUGUACUUCGCCUACUCAGUAAUUUAUGGAUGUGUUUUCAACCGAAUAGUCUUGUUUUUAUUUCAUUAGAAAAGCUGAGGAAGUUUAAAUAGUUAGGCCAACACAGAAGACCUAGAAUUCUAGAUCUGCCAGUUACUGGUUUUGUAACCUCAGGCAGAUGUCUUGGGUUUCCUCCCCCAGUUUUCUUCUCAUUCUUCCAUGGCCAUAUCUAUGCCUACUCCAUCAAUAUGCCCAGCACAUACCAUGCCCACCAAGAGAUCUUGAACUUCUUAAGACUAAACUUAUAUACACGUGGUUCAAGCUCAGAGCUUGGUCACAGCAGAUAUUUUAAAAAUAUUAAAUGUUAAUAUCUCCUAGGCUAUGAAAUCGGGACAAUUGUGCCAAGUAGUAAAUAUCAAAUAAAUCACAUGAUUUGUAAACUAUAAAACAUAGUAACUAAUACAUAUGUUUAAAAGUUGUGUCACUGGUCUUUCAAGAGAUACAAAUUCAAACAACACUGAGAUUCCAUCUCACUCUAGAAGUAAAUCAAUAACAAAUGCUGGCAGGGAAAAGGAGUCCUUCUCCAUAUUGGUGGGAUUAUAGACUGCUGCAACCACUGUGGAAAUCA